Molecule: long non-coding RNA, 756 nt
Filed under: Brachypodium distachyon (stiff brome)
Lineage: Eukaryota; Viridiplantae; Streptophyta; Magnoliopsida; Poales; Poaceae
Description: long non-coding RNA (BDIS_LNC002710)
Source: RNAcentral
GAGGAGCCCGCUGCCCAUCGCUCGCAGUCUACCGCCGCCACCGGUGCCCCUCCGGCAUCUGUGAGACACGGAGUCUUCUUUGCCCUAAAUCCCUAAUCCCCUCUCCAGAUUUCCCCUCUUCUCUGCUCCUUACUCUGUUCAGUGGAAUGGUGGAUUGAUUUCUUCAGGGACAUUGGAGGAGAUACGUAUGAGCUACUUGUUGGUGGUACGGAUUUUCUCCAGCAAGCUGAGUUCUCGCUGAUGAACCAGAACUGGAGGCUUUGUUGCAUUGCAUGAUAUGGGUGUGCUGGAAAUUGAGGAGGAUAAUGAAGCAAUGGAGGAGUAACUUAUUUGUGCUACUGUAAUCUGUGAACCUUAAUUAGCUACUGUUAUUAUUCAUUUAUUUAAUAUAUAUACAAGCGUAUCCCCGUAUCUAUGUUUCUUAAAAAUUGACAUAUCGUGGUAUCCCUGUAUCGUGUCGCAGAUACAUAUCAACGUAUCCUUAUUUCCUGCUACCAAGUUGACAUAGAAGCACCAAACUUAGGCCGUCAGGCGCCAAUAUUGUCAGAUACCUUUUCGUGAGAACAAUGUAACAAGUUCGAUGUUAUCGGUGCAAUGUUAGCAUCAAAAUAACCCAUGCAAACACUUUCCACAUCAGAAUAUAAAACCUGAACCCAUGGUACAGUAAGCACUAUAUUACUUUACCUAGUUUUCCAAAUAUAAGAAAGUUUGUACACAUGGCAAAUCCAGAUUCUCAUUCCUAGGAUAGGGAUUGUA